UUGACUUCGGUCAGUGAGUACAGGACCCCAA
RNAcentral lists this non-coding RNA (31 nucleotides) under Mus musculus (house mouse). Lineage: Eukaryota; Metazoa; Chordata; Mammalia; Rodentia; Muridae. The record is from RNAcentral.